This is a long non-coding RNA of Oncorhynchus tshawytscha (Chinook salmon), 3441 nucleotides long. NCBI's taxonomy places the organism in Eukaryota, Metazoa, Chordata, Actinopteri, Salmoniformes, Salmonidae. The record is from Ensembl.
GUUCUAUUCAAAUGAUUCCACAAAGACAGGGUCACAUAACAUGGAAAAAAAAUAUUUAUUUCAACCGAAGACAUUUGGUAAUCUACAAGCCAACACUGGAUGUCAAUUCAUGAGGGAUGGAAGUGUACAAAAAAAAAAGCACAAAAAAAACCCAUCAGAUAUGUAAAACAAAAAGAAAAAUUAACAUUACUGAGCAGAGUGAAUUCCCUGAUGUUGAAAGUCAUUUGUGGUGAGCAUUGGCUGAGAGUAGAUUCAUGCUGACGUACCCUGGUCAAUACCACUUUGGCCAACACUCGCAUUGUAUUGCAAACUUCAUAUUGUUCACACACACACACACACACACUCUUGUGCUUUUCAGUUGUCACAAAACAUUGUAUGACAUUCUCAUUUAGACUUAGUAUUUGGGAAAACUUCUCCCCCCCCCCCCAAGUCCAGUACAUUUCUAAUAAUGGUGAAUAAAUAUUACCACAAUUAUUUAUCAGAUGGUGAAUUUUUUGGGGUUUGGGGGUUUGAACAUUCCAAUCAAUCUGAAAGAAACUAGAGUACAAAAAAAGUUACAAAAGACAAACAAUAAAUUAGAAUACCUCAGGUAGGUUGUGGCACACAAGGAAUAUGGUAUAUACAAACAAAGCACUUGAGGGAAGGACCGACAACAAUCAGUGUGAUACUUUUAUCAGAUGAGUUCGAGGCCCAGUGACUCUUCUUUCCUCAUCAAUACUGGUAUUAGUUUUAAUCCAAAUAAGUGAACCAAACCCCUAUUUCAUUAUUUACAUUUUCAACCAUGACAGGGGCAUUAAUUGAAAACAAAUUAUUAAUUUGAUAAAUUAAAGGACUUUUUGAAGACUUCAUUUUCGAUUUUGAAUAUUUUCUACAGCUUGUUAAAAUUCUUAAAAUAUCCUACCCUAAUCCAUAAACUACACCCUAUCCUACCCAUAGACUACCCCCUAUUCUACCUAAAUCCAUAAACUACAUUCUAGCCUACCCUAACCCAUAGAGACCACACCCUAUCCUAUGCUAAACCACAUCCUAUUCUACCCUAACCCAUACAAACUACACCCUAGCCUGCCCUAACCCAUACAGACUAUACCCUAUCCUACCCAUACAGACUACACCCUAUCCUACACCUAACCCAUAGAUUACACCCUAGCCUACCCUAACUCAUAGACUACACCCUAUCCUAUGCUACACCAGAGACUACAUUCUAUUCUACCCUAACCCAUACAAACUACACCCUAGCCUACCCUAACCCAUAGAGAUUACACCCUAGCCUACCCCAUAGAGACUAGACCCUAUCCUAUGCUAAACCAGAGACUACAUCCUAUUCUACCAUAACCCAUACAAACUACACCCUAGCCUACUCUAACCCAUAGCGACUACACCCUAUCCUACCACAAACCAUAGAGACUACACCCUAGCCUACCCCAUAGAGACUAGACCCUAUCCUAUGCUAAACCAGAGACUACAUCCUAUUCUACCAUAACCCAUACAAACUACACCCUAGCCUACUCUAACCCAUAGCGACUACACCCUAUCCUACCCCAAACCAUAGAGACUACACCCUAUCCUACCCCAAACCAUAGACUACACCAUAUAUCCUACCCCAAACCAGACUACACCCUAUAUUAGACCACACCCCAUCCUACCCCAACCCAUAGACUACACCAUAUAUCCUACCCCAAACCAUAGAGUACACCAUAUAUAUCCUACCCCAACCCAUAGACUACACCAUAUAUCCUACCCUAAACCAUAGACUACACCAUAUAUCCUACCCCAAACCAUAGACUACACCCUAUAUUAGACCACACCAUAUCCUACCCCAAACCAUUUACAACACCAGUGCAAUAUCAUACACACGUCAUGUUUAAAAUAAUGGAAAAUAUGCCUCGGAACCUGAACAAAAUGUCUUGGAGCUAAACAGUAGGAUGUCAACCUGUGUGUCAAUGGUAAUCAUACUGUCCUUUGUUUUGCACAAACAUUGGAGUUGUCUAGGCAUCUUCAAUGACCCCAAGUCAUUUCAUAGACAAAAGAUAACAUUUUCUUUGAUAAGUUAUUCUUUACUCUUAGAAUGUGCAUGAGUUCAUGAACUCGGCCACAUGGUCAAGCUUUUACAGACAACUUCGAGUUUGGGUUCGCCUCGAUGCCAGAUUGCAACAUUGAAUGCUUUAUAGAUUCUGUUAACCACACCAGUACCUACUCAUUAACCACCAGUAGCCAGCGCUGUACCACCAGUAGCCAGCGCUGUACCACCAGUAGCCAGCGCUGUACCACCAGUAGCCAGCGCUGUACCACCAGUAGCCAGCGCUGUACCACCAGUAGCCAGCGCUGUACCACCAGUAGCCAGCGCUGUACCACCAGUAGCCAGCACUGUACCACCAGUAGCCAGCACUGUAUCACAUAGCUAAAGGUCUUUACAUUUUACUGCACAGCAUAUACUCAUAUAGCCCAGGCUUAUUGAAAUCAAGUUUACCAAAACAUUUACAGUAGAAUGUUGAGUGAAAUGCCAGUUCAUGCCAUUUCAACAUCAGUUAUUGUUCUAUUGAACAAUUAUCAUGAAAAUAAAGACAAGGAAUGGGAACUGGAACGAUGUAAACAACAGCGAAGUAACAAUCACAUUUCCUAUUGGAGUGGAAUUCACUUGAGGCAGUCAAAAAAAAACAAAAAAAACUUAUUGUCAGCAGAAAAAAAUAUCAUUCCAUAUGCUCUACAGACAUUUUGGCACCCAAGGGCCAUAGCAAGCCACUUUUCACAAACGUGGUCACCCACCAUUCUGACCGCCAAACCAGAGAAAAAUAUAUAUAAAAAGAAAUAUGUUAAUAAUAAAAAUAAAACAAAAAUCUACAUUUUGUACUUGUAGGUUCCAGACCUUUAAACACUGAAUUGACAAAACCCCACAGCCCUCCCCCCAAAAAACUCACAUCAAAAAAUUAGAAUUUGAAGAGAAGAAGCAUUUUACACUUUGAACUUGCAGAGAUGAGGAUCAUGCUUUUUGCAUCUGGCUUAAGUUGGAAGGGUGAGGUACACUAAAACUGAAGCGCUGCUGUCCUUUUGACUGUCGUCCUCCGUGGGAGAUGGGCGGAUGAACAGAGGCAGAGGGGGGGAGCAGCCUCCUUCCAAUGACGUGACAAAAACUGUCCAUGUAUUUGUGGCGCGAGGAGAGUUGAGAGGGCUGAGGUGGAGAGGGCUGAGGCGGAGAGAAGGGGGGGGGGUCGAUAGUGGGCUCAUUGGGAGGAGCAAAGGAGGACAGACAGAGCGGAAGGACAGGAGGCGAACAUCAUCCCCUAGUCCAAUAUUGGGGAGGGAGGAUGAGGGAAGCAGUCACUGAAGGCAGACAUGGAGACCAGGAUGAAAAACAUCAACAUGAAGGAACCUAGAGGGAAGACAAACAGGCAAGGUUUAAACAACUGUCUGAAACCAAACAGUCUUCAGAUAAGUUAAAUGACC